CUUGCUUGGUGGCGCACUUGGACAAGUUCUUGGUGGGCUAACGUGUACUUCUAAUUCAUAGAAUUCAAGUUUCAAAAGCCCGCUACCAAAGCGGGCUUUUUUGU
Vibrio tubiashii ATCC 19109 is the source of this 104-nucleotide non-coding RNA. Lineage: Bacteria; Pseudomonadati; Pseudomonadota; Gammaproteobacteria; Vibrionales; Vibrionaceae. The record is from Rfam.